This 1611-nucleotide long non-coding RNA is filed under the name Cyclopterus lumpus (lumpfish). RNAcentral describes it as "lncRNA (ENSCLMG00005001861.1)". The record is from RNAcentral. Lineage: Eukaryota; Metazoa; Chordata; Actinopteri; Perciformes; Cyclopteridae.
AUGGAAGUGACAGACGACAAUAAAGAGCUUUCAUACAAGAUAAACUGUUUGUUUAUUUCAACGCUUCAAUGUCGUUCACUUUCUUCAGAUCUGGUUUCUGAUUCUUCUGCUUCAUGUAAACGUGAUCCACUUCAACUGCUUUCACUUCUACCUUCAACUGUGUUCAGAGAGAAUCUCCAACUAGAUACGGCUGUUUUAAAAACAGUACACACACACACACUCACACACACACUCUCACACACACACACCCACUCUCUCACACACACACACACUCUAACCCUGCCUGAAGGAGACAAAAACGUCUCAGGGAACGAGAGAGCGUCUGCUUUACGCUUCAGGGAACGAGAGAGCGUCUGCUUUACGGCUCAAGGAACGAGAGAGCGUCUACUUUACGCCUCAGGGAACAAGAGAGCGUCUGCUUUACGCUUCAGGGAACGAGAGAGCGUCUGCUUUACGCCUCAGGGAACGAGAGAGCGUCUGCUUUACGCCUCAGGGAAGGAGAGAGCGUCUGCUUUACGCCUCAGGGAACGAGAGAGCGUCUGCUUUACGCUUCAGGGAACGAGAGAGCGUCUGCUUUACGCUUCAGGGAAGGAGAGAGCGUCUGCUUUACGCUUCAGGGAAGGAGAGAGCGUCUGCUUUACGCUUCAGGGAACGAGAGAGCGUCUGCUUUACGUCGUAGGGAACGAGAGAGCGUCUGCUUUACGCUUCAGGGAACGAGAGAGCGUCUGCUUUACGCUUCAGGGAACGAGAGAGCGUCUGCUUUACGCUUCAGGGAAGGAGAGAGCGUCUGCUUUACACUUCAGGGAACGAGAGAGCGUCUGCUUUACGCUUCAGGGAAGGAGAGAGCGUCUGCUUUACGCUUCAGGGAACGAGAGAGCGUCUGCUUUACGUCGUAGGGAACGAGAGAGCGUCUGCUUUACGCUUCAGGGAACAAGAGCGUCUGCUUUACGCUUCAGGGAAGGAGAGAGCGUCUGCUUUACGCUUCAGGGAAGGAGAGAGCGUCUGCUUUACGCUUCAGGGAACGAGAGAGCGUCUGCUUUACGCUUCAGGGAACGAGAGAGCGUCUGCUUUACGCUUCAGGGAAGGAGAGAGCGUCUGCUUUACGCUUCAGGGAAGGAGAGAGCGUCUGCUUUACGCUUCAGGGAACGAGAGAGCGUCUGCUUUACGCUUCAGGGAAGGAGAGAGCGUCUGCUUUACGCUUCAGGGAAGGAGAGAGCGUCUGCUUUACGCUUCAGGGAACGAGAGAGCGUCUGCUUUACGCUUCAGGGAAGGAGAGAGCGUCUGCUUUACGCUUCAGGGAAGGAGAGAGCGUCUGCUUUACGCUUCAGGGAACGAGAGAGCGUCUGCUUUACGCUUCAGGGAACGAGAGAGCGUCUGCUUUACGCUUCAGGGAACGAGAGAGCGUCUGCUUUACGCUUCAGGGAAGGAGAGAGCGUCUGCUUUACGCUUCAGGGAACGAGAGAGCGUCUGCUUUACGCUUCAGGGAACGAGAGAGCGUCUGCGUUACGCAUGUCGACUUUUCUUAAGAAGGCACUCAACGUCACGCCAUCCGUUUGUUCUUCAUUAAAACACAUCAGAUGUUUCACUGCAGGAAAAACUGCAAAAAUAUAG